GUGUUAGGUGGUUAGCACGGUGGUGGUGUUAUGUUGUUAGCAUGGUGGUGGUGUUAUGUUGUUAGCAUGGUGGUGGUGUUAGGUGGUUAGCACGGUGGUGGUGUUAUGUGGUUAGCACGGUGGUGGUGUUAUGUUCUUAGCAUGGUGGUGGUGUUAUGUUGUUAGCAUGGUGGUGGUGUUAGGUGGUUAGGACGGUGGUGGUGUUAUGUUGUUAGCAUGGUGGUGGUGUUAGGUGGUUAGCACGGUGGUGGUGUUAUGUUGUUAGCAUGGUGGUGGUGUUAUGUUGUUAGCAUGGUGGUGGUGUUAGUUGGUUAUGACGGUGGUGGUGUUAUGUUGUUAGCAUGGUGGUGGUGUUAGGUGGUUAGCACGGUGGUGGUGUUAUGUUGUUAGCAUGGUGGUGGUGUUAGUUGGUUAUGACGGUGGUGGUGUUAUGUUGUUAGCAUGGUGGUGGUGUUAGGUGGUUAGCACGGUGGUGGUGUCGCUGCGAGCCUGUGAAUUUCCCCAUUGUGGAACUAAUAAAGGAAUAUCUUAUAUUAUCUCUCAGAUGAUGGUGUUAAAGCCGAUCAAAUAUCACAUUAUGCUAUGUCAUAAAAAAAGUUAGUGUCAAAAAAAUGCUAAUGUAGUACAGAAAAACUAUAGUGUCAAAAAAAGCGCAUAGCAUCAAAAACAAAGUAAUUCAAUAAAAGUCCUAAUAUAUAUAGUAUGCCAAAAAAUGUGAUAGAGAUAAUUAGAUUAAAUUAUGUGAAUAUAUGUCAUGAAAAAAUACAAAAUGUUAUGUCAAAAAAUAUAAUGAUAGUCAUGAUGUAUUAUGUUGAAAAUGUGACAUAAAAUCAAAAGUACCAAUACUUUACAAUAGUAAAUUAUUUUCUUUAUUGAUUAACACAGAUUUGAUUUCUUCACAUGUCACAAGAGGAAAGGAUGAUGACAAUAAUGUCCCUGGUUUAGUUGUAGGCAUCUUUCUCAGUCUGUGAUUGGCUGGAUGGUAGAGCCAAUGGGAGCUCAGGGACCACAAGCUGGACAGGCUCCGCCCCCGAUAUACCUAGGUCAGGAAACAGGAACAUUUAUUUCCAUAAUAUGUUAGACAUACAAGGAAUUUGACUUGGCAGUUGGGGCAUAACAUCAUAAAGUAAGACAAU
This is a long non-coding RNA of Gasterosteus aculeatus aculeatus (three-spined stickleback), 1136 nucleotides long. The record is from Ensembl. Lineage: Eukaryota; Metazoa; Chordata; Actinopteri; Perciformes; Gasterosteidae.